This 193-nucleotide ribosomal RNA is filed under the name uncultured eukaryote. RNAcentral describes it as "partial 18S ribosomal RNA". It matches the Rfam family "Eukaryotic small subunit ribosomal RNA", at positions 1208 to 1456 of the family's 1831-position model. The record is from RNAcentral.
GGGAAACUUACCAAGGCCAAACAGAGGUGGGAUUGACAGAUUGAGAGCUCUUUCUUGAUUCUUUGGGUGGUGGUGCAUGGCCGUUCUUAGUUGGUGGAGUGAUUUGUCUGGCUUAAUUUGACUCAACGCUGGAAAUCUCACCAGGCCCGGCUACUGGAAGGAUUGACAGAUUGAUAUUGAUAUUGAGCAAUAA